UAAUGUGAGGGUGAUCUGGCUGUGACAUCUUGUUACCCCAUUCAUCACCAGGAUGGAUUUGGCUGAUCUAGCUGGCUAGGUGGGUGUCCCCUUCCUUCCUCACUGCUCCAUGUUCCUCUGUCAUGAAGCUGCACUUGGUCAAGAGGACAACCUUCCCUGAAGAGAGGAGCACCAGUCAUCACUCAAGGGCAUGAGGGUAGCUGCGCUCCCCUGCUAAAAUCUCCAAACAAGCUCUCAAACUGAUCAGGGAUUGUGUAAAUAAAACUAAAAGUAAUUGAGGAAUAAAUAAAUAUAACAUGAGUAUAUGCUAU
RNAcentral lists this small nuclear RNA (311 nucleotides) under Jaculus jaculus (lesser Egyptian jerboa). RNAcentral describes it as "7SK RNA (ENSJJAG00000008048.1)". It matches the Rfam family "7SK RNA". Rfam says of the family: 7SK was discovered as an abundant small nuclear RNA in the mid-70s but a possible function has only recently been suggested. Two independent studies have found that 7SK RNA binds the CDK9/cyclin T complex (known as elongation factor P-TEFb). P-TEFb activates transcription by phosphorylating the C-terminal domain of RNA polymerase II. Lineage: Eukaryota; Metazoa; Chordata; Mammalia; Rodentia; Dipodidae. The record is from Rfam by way of RNAcentral.